GCCGGGUGUGGUAGUGCAUGCCUGUAGUCCCAGUUACUCGGGAGGCUGAGGUGGGAGGAUCACUUGAGCCCAGGAGGUCAAGGCUGCAGUGAGCUGUGAUUGCACCACUGCCUACUGCCCACUGCACUCCAGCCUGGGUGACAGAGUAAGACUCUGUCUCAA
This is an unclassified non-coding RNA of Papio anubis (olive baboon), 162 nucleotides long. It matches the Rfam family "Metazoan signal recognition particle RNA". Rfam says of the family: The signal recognition particle (SRP) is a universally conserved ribonucleoprotein. The record is from Ensembl. NCBI's taxonomy places the organism in Eukaryota, Metazoa, Chordata, Mammalia, Primates, Cercopithecidae.